Molecule: non-coding RNA, 21 nt
Organism: Caenorhabditis elegans
Lineage: Eukaryota; Metazoa; Nematoda; Chromadorea; Rhabditida; Rhabditidae
Source: Ensembl
UGCGUAUGCAGUGCACCAAGA